This 370-nucleotide ribosomal RNA is filed under the name uncultured bacterium. Its description in RNAcentral is "bacterial SSU rRNA". It matches the Rfam family "Bacterial small subunit ribosomal RNA", at positions 28 to 402 of the family's 1533-position model. The record is from RNAcentral.
GACGAACGCUGGCGGCGUGCUUAACACAUGCAAGUCGAGCGGUAAGGCCUUUCGGGGUACACGAGCGGCGAACGGGUGAGUAACACGUGGGUGACCUGCCCCUUACUCUGGGAUAAGCCUGGGAAACUGGGUCUAAUACCGGAUAUGACCUCUUGUUGCAUGACAGGUGGUGGAAAGUUUUUUCGGUGGGGGAUGGGCCCGCGGCCUAUCAGCUUGUUGGUGGGGUGAUGGCCUACCAAGGCGACGACGGGUAGCCGGCCUGAGAGGGCGACCGGCCACACUGGGACUGAGACACGGCCCAGACUCCUACGGGAGGCAGCAGUGGGGAAUAUUGCGCAAUGGGCGGAAGCCUGACGCAGCGACGCCGCGU